Molecule: unclassified non-coding RNA, 365 nt
Filed under: rhizosphere metagenome
Description: partial ribosomal RNA internal transcribed spacer region
Source: RNAcentral
GUAGGUGAACCUGCGGAAGGAUCAUUAUAAAGCUGGGUCGCAUAGAGGCGGCCGGAUGGAUUUUUACAUUGAUUUUUUUUUUUCGUUCGUUAGCGUGAUUUUUGGUUCCGAUUUUGCUUUUUUUUGCAAGGUAAGAGAACAAAGGUUGGUUUUAACCCCUUUCCCCCCGUUCUCUAUUUUUUUCGGUUCCAAAAAAAACAAUAAAAUUUAAAAGGAUGAGAAAAAAAAAAAAAAAUAAUCCUCCCCCGACGCACUUAUCGAAAGAACUUUUUAACCAAACCUUUUGACUAAAUUUUUGACUGACCUUUACUUUUAACGAGUAAAAAAACUUAAUACAACUUUCAACAACGGAUCUCUUGGCUCUC